UGGGGAAUUUUGGACAAUGGGCGAAAGCCUGAUCCAGCAAUGCCGCGUGUGUGAAGAAGGCCUUCGGGUUGUAAAGCACUUUUGUCCGGAAAGAAAUCCUUGGCUCUAAUACAGUCGGGGGAUGACGGUACCGGAAGAAUAAGCACCGGCUAACUACGUGCCAGCAGCCGCGGUAAUACGUAGGGUGCAAGCGUUAAUCGGAAUUACUGGGCGUAAAGCGCGCGCAGGCGGUUUGCUAAGACCGAUGUGAAAUCCCCGGGCUCAACCUGGGAACUGCAUUGGUGACUGGCAGGCUAGAGUAUGGCAGAGGGGGGUAGAAUUCCACGUGUAGCAGUGAAAUGCGUAGAGAUGUGGAGGAAUACCGAUGGCGAAGGCAGCCCCCUGGGCCAAUACUGACGCUCAUGCACGAAAGCGUGGGGAGCAAAACAGGAUUAGAUACCCUGGUAGUCCACGCCCUAAAACGAUGUCAACUAGUUGUUGGGGAUUCAUUUCCUUAGUAACGUAGCUAACGCGUGAAGUUGACCGCCUGGGGAGUACGGUCGCAAGAUUAAAACUUAAAGGAAUUGACGGGGUCAUAGCUGUUUCCU
RNAcentral lists this ribosomal RNA (587 nucleotides) under uncultured bacterium. RNAcentral describes it as "partial 16S ribosomal RNA". It matches the Rfam family "Bacterial small subunit ribosomal RNA", at positions 355 to 1375 of the family's 1533-position model. The record is from RNAcentral.